This 84-nucleotide transfer RNA is filed under the name Rickettsiales bacterium. Its description in RNAcentral is "tRNA-Leu". It matches the Rfam family "tRNA". From Rfam's summary of the family: Transfer RNA (tRNA) molecules are approximately 80 nucleotides in length. Lineage: Bacteria; Pseudomonadati; Pseudomonadota; Alphaproteobacteria; Rickettsiales. The record is from RNAcentral.
GGCCUUGUGGCGGAAUGGUAGACGCGCUUGACUCAAAAUCAAGUUCUGAAAGGAGUGUGGGUUCAAGUCCCACCGAGGCCACCA